Molecule: long non-coding RNA, 256 nt
Organism: Peromyscus eremicus (cactus mouse)
Lineage: Eukaryota; Metazoa; Chordata; Mammalia; Rodentia; Cricetidae
Exons: 3
Source: RefSeq, a predicted model, not a curated record
CAAUUUAUUCUCCGCUGGGGCUGGCGCUGCUCGGGACCUGCUGGGGACCUCGGGCGGCAUGGAUCCCCCGCAGCUGCUCUUCUUCGUGAAUGGCCGGAAGGUGGUAGAAAAACAUGUGGAUCCUGAAAUGAUGCUGCUACCAUACCUGAGGAAGAACCUCCGACUCACAGGCACUAAGUAUGGCUGUGGAGGAGGAGGCUGUGGGGCCUGCACAGUGAUGGUGUCACGAUACAACCCCAGCACCAAGAUGAUCAGG